GAAAUGCGAUAAGUAGUGUGAAUUGCAGAAUUCAGUGAAUCAUCGAAUCUUUGAACGCACAUUGCGCCCCUUGGUAUUCCAUGGGGCAUGCCUGUUCGAGCGUCAUCGACACCCUCAAGCUCUGCUUGGUGUUGGGCCGUUGUCGUUUCCGCGCCCCCCCGGGCGACACUGCGACACCCCUCAAAGUCAUUGGCGGCCUUUCUGCCCCGGCUCCCCGCGCAGCAGUUCGCGCUUCGGAGGCCCCUCUGGGCAGGCUGGCAUCCAUCAAGCUAACCCCUUCGCGCUUGACCUCGGAUCAGGUAGGGACACCCGCUGAACUUAA
This 322-nucleotide unclassified non-coding RNA is filed under the name uncultured Onygenales. RNAcentral describes it as "sequence contains ITS1". The stretch from base 1 to 105 matches the Rfam family "5.8S ribosomal RNA", at positions 50 to 154 of the family's 154-position model. The record is from RNAcentral. Lineage: Eukaryota; Fungi; Ascomycota; Eurotiomycetes; Onygenales.